RNAcentral lists this long non-coding RNA (502 nucleotides) under Trifolium pratense (red clover). RNAcentral describes it as "long non-coding RNA (TPRA_LNC000517)". Lineage: Eukaryota; Viridiplantae; Streptophyta; Magnoliopsida; Fabales; Fabaceae. The record is from RNAcentral.
UCAUCACUCAGGGAGUGAAUUAAUCAAUUAACACUACCGUAGUAUCUUUACUUUUGUGAAUUAAAGGAAGAAAAAGAAAAGGAAAAAAGAACAAAGAACAAAAACGGAUAGAAAUAAUGUCGGACAAAUAUAUCAUGAGUGGGAAGUGGGAAAAAAAUGAAGCAAAUGAAUUAAAAAAAGACAACCUCACAGCUCAACUCAAUCAUUUCAUGAGUUGAGAAUGUUUUGCUUCAGAAGCAUGUCCUACAUUAUUAUGGAGGGGCAAACACAACAGCACUCUCUAUAUGCUAACUUCACAAACACUCUUACUAUUAAACAAUCUUUCCCCAUUGAUUCAUAAACUAAUAUUCAAGUAACAUGAUAUGCCAUUAGUAAUACCCACCUCUCCAUCAUCAACCCACAUAAUAAAAACCUAUAAAGCAAGAACACUCCUUAAAUUAGACGUGUUCAGGUCCUUAAAUUAGACGUGUUCAGGUGGCGGAUACAAGUUGGUGUUAAACAC